Molecule: unclassified non-coding RNA, 286 nt
Filed under: Hevea brasiliensis (rubber tree)
Lineage: Eukaryota; Viridiplantae; Streptophyta; Magnoliopsida; Malpighiales; Euphorbiaceae
Source: RNAcentral
GGAUGAUCGAGGCUGAAUUCCUCCUCGGGCAAGAAUAGCUUCCAGGCAAGCAAGCAUGUAGCCUUAUCGUAGAAAUAGGAGUUUGCUAGCUUGAGUUCAGAGGGGGUGGGGGUGCCACCCAAGAAGAAGGGAUACAUUAGAACCUGAGCGACAACCUUGACGGGGUCUAAAAGCUUCCCAGCCUCAACUGCCUUCCGUGCGAUGAAAUCUGCUAUGUUUGCUCCACAGCUCACACCGAGUAGAACACACCUGGAAGGAUCUGCAUGUGCUGCCAACCACGGCUCCG